UGUACGAGGUCUUCUGGAUAUGGUGAAUUGUGUACGAAGAUUAUGAGUAGGUCAACAAGAAAUUAAUCACUUCUAGUAAGAGAAGAUAGCAUCCUAUUUAUUCUAAUCAUAUGAUAAUUCAGGAAGCCUUUGAUCAAAGCAGAAUGAAAAUUAGAAAGAGUUUCUAAUGUUUCAUUAUUUGAAUUAUCAUUAAAAGAUUGAGAAAAGUAUGAAUAUGAAAUUGAGUUUGACAUAUAUUCAUACUCAUAUACAUAUUUAGGAUGCAGUUUGAUUAAAGGAUUGAAUUGCAUGGUAACUUGCCACUGAAGGGUAUUUUUGGUAUUUCUACCAAAUUCCAUAUUUUUUGGGUAGACAUGACACGUUGCUAGACGUCAAUCUUGUUUUAUAGGUUUGAUCAAAUUAAAGAGUUUAAUUCGAACACCAAUUAGAAAGGAUUCUAAUUGUUAAGUUUGGGUUCGCGCAGUUUGGACUUAAAUCGAUUAGAAGAGUUCUAAUCAAGUUGGGUCAACUCGCACUCACACUUAUUGCUGGCUAAGUACGGAACCCAAUGGGUCACACACAAGAAAACUUAUCAAGGGUCUAAUUGGAUUAGAUUAUGUUUGCAAGAUAAACAUCCUAGCAGGUGUUGCAAACCUUAGCUCCUAAUUCGAAUUGGAUUCGAAUCUGAUUCGAAUUGGAUUCGAAUCUGAUUCUUAGUUGAUCUAAUUUGAUUAGAUCAUAUUCUAAUAUGGGUUAGCCAAAAGUUGGCACCUAAUUGGCUUGGUUUGAGUCUAAUUGGAUUAGAUUUAAUAAAUCAUUCAAUCUAGACCGUUAGAUCUUGAUCUACCGUUGGAUGAAGACAUAAUGGAGAGUUGGUUUAACCCAAUUGGAUUGGGUUAGAGGAUGGCUACCAUAAUUGACCAUUG
RNAcentral lists this long non-coding RNA (905 nucleotides) under Phoenix dactylifera (date palm). Its description in RNAcentral is "long non-coding RNA (PDAC_LNC011356)". The record is from RNAcentral. Lineage: Eukaryota; Viridiplantae; Streptophyta; Magnoliopsida; Arecales; Arecaceae.